UACGUAUGGUGCGAACGUUGUUCGGAAUCACUGGGCUUAAAGAGCACGUAGGCGGUCAAGUAAGUCUGAUGUGAAAUCCCUCGGCUUAACCAAGGAAUGGCAUCAGAAACUGCUUGGCUAGAGUGUAGGAGGGGAGAGUGGAAUUCCUGGUGGAGCGGUGAAAUGCGUAGAUAUCAGGAGGAACGCCGGUGGCGAAAGCGACUCUCUGGCCUACAACUGACGCUGAGGUGCGAAAGCUAGGGGAGCAAACGGG
RNAcentral lists this ribosomal RNA (253 nucleotides) under uncultured bacterium. Its description in RNAcentral is "partial 16S ribosomal RNA". It matches the Rfam family "Bacterial small subunit ribosomal RNA", at positions 524 to 776 of the family's 1533-position model. The record is from RNAcentral.